GUUCCCGGGCCUUGUACACACCGCCCGUCACACCAUGGGAGUGGGUUGCAAAAGAAGUAGGUAGCUUAACCUUCGGGAGGGCGCUUACCACUUUGUGAUUCAUGACUGGGGUGAAGUCGUAACAAGGUAACCGUAGGGGAACCUGCGGUUGGAUCACCUCCUUACCUUAAAGAAGC
RNAcentral lists this ribosomal RNA (176 nucleotides) under Escherichia coli. Its description in RNAcentral is "partial 16S ribosomal RNA". It matches the Rfam family "Bacterial small subunit ribosomal RNA", at positions 1370 to 1533 of the family's 1533-position model. RNAcentral also lists the same sequence under 3 other names. Lineage: Bacteria; Pseudomonadati; Pseudomonadota; Gammaproteobacteria; Enterobacterales; Enterobacteriaceae. The record is from RNAcentral.